GGAGUUAGCCGGUGCUUCUUCUGUGAGUGAUGUCCUUCCUGCCGGCUAUUAACCCGCAGGCCUUCUUCCUCACUGAAAGUGCUUUACAACCCGAAGGCCUUCUUCACACACGCGGAAUGGCUGGAUCAGGGUUGCCCCCAUUGUCCAAUAUUCCCCACUGCUGCCUCCCGUAGGAGUCUGGGCCGUGUCUCAGUCCCAGUGUGGCUGAUCAUCCUCUCAGACCAGCUACGGAUCGUCGCCUUGGUGAGCCGUUACCUCACCAACCAGCUAAUCCGACAUAGGCUCAUCCGAUAGCGCGAGGCCCGAAGGUCCCCCGCUUUCCCCCGUAGGGCGUAUGCGGUAUUAGCCUGGGUUUCCCCCAGGUUAUCCCCCCACUACCGGGGCAGAUUCCUAUGCAUUACUCACCCGUCCGCCGCUCGCCACCAGGGAGCAAGCUCCCCGUGCUGCCGCUCGACUUGCAUGUGUUAGGCCUGCCGCCAGCGUUCAAUCUGAGCCAGGAUCAAACUCUGA
RNAcentral lists this ribosomal RNA (510 nucleotides) under uncultured bacterium. RNAcentral describes it as "partial 16S ribosomal RNA". The record is from RNAcentral.